CACGCUGAUAGCCCGCAGGUCAAACAGCAACCGGAAGUUGUUCAGGUCACGGUCGAAGAAGGGAUCUUUGUUGUUCCAUUCGACUUCGAGUGC
This 93-nucleotide transfer RNA is filed under the name Deinococcus metallilatus. RNAcentral describes it as "tRNA-Ser". Lineage: Bacteria; Thermotogati; Deinococcota; Deinococci; Deinococcales; Deinococcaceae. The record is from RNAcentral.